This 253-nucleotide ribosomal RNA is filed under the name uncultured bacterium. RNAcentral's name for it is "partial 16S ribosomal RNA". It matches the Rfam family "Bacterial small subunit ribosomal RNA", at positions 524 to 776 of the family's 1533-position model. The record is from RNAcentral.
UACGUAGGGGGCUAGCGUUGUCCGGAAUCAUUGGGCGGACAGAGCGCGUAGGCGGCUAGAUAAGUCCGGUGUGAAAGUCACAGGCUCAACCUGUGAAUGCCGCUGGAAACUGUCUGGCUAGAGUCCGGAAGGGGCGAGUGGAAUUCCUGGUGUAGCGGUGAAAUGCGCAGAUAUCAGGAGGAACACCAAUGGCGAAGGCAGCUCGCUGGGACGGUACUGACGCUGAGGCGCGAAAGCGUGGGGAGCAAACAGG